RNAcentral lists this ribosomal RNA (558 nucleotides) under uncultured eukaryote. RNAcentral's name for it is "bacterial SSU rRNA". It matches the Rfam family "Eukaryotic small subunit ribosomal RNA", at positions 29 to 569 of the family's 1831-position model. The record is from RNAcentral.
UGCUUGUCUCAAAGACUAAGCCAUGCAUGUGCAAGUAUAAACGCUUGAAUCGUGAGACUGCGAAUGGCUCAUUAAAUCAGUUAUAGUUUAUUUGAUGGUGUUCCGCUACGUGGAUAACCGUGGUAAUUCUAGAGCUAAUACAUGCAAAAGGUCCCGACUGUCACGGGAGGGACGUAUUUAUUAGAUCCAAAACCGACCCGGUCGCGGUCUCACGGCCCGGCCGGCGUUCUCGGGUGAUUCAUGGUAACUGUUCGAAUCGCUUGGCCUCCGUGCCGGCGAUGGUUCAUUCAAGUUUCUGCCCUAUCAACUUUCGAUGGUAGCGUAUUGGGCUACCAUGGUCGCAACGGGUGACGGAGAAUUAGGGCUCGAUUCCGGAGAGGGAGCCUGAGAAACGGCUACCACAUCCAAGGAAGGCAGCAGGCGCGCAAAUUACCCAAUCCCGACUCGGGGAGGUAGUGACAAGAAAUAACAAUGCCGGUCCCAUCGAGGUCCGGCAAUUGGAAUGAGUACAAUCCAAACCCCUUAACGAGGAACAAUUGGAGGGCAAGUCUGGUCCCC